RNAcentral lists this ribosomal RNA (852 nucleotides) under Clostridioides difficile. RNAcentral describes it as "bacterial LSU rRNA". It matches the Rfam family "Bacterial large subunit ribosomal RNA", at positions 1 to 856 of the family's 2925-position model. The record is from RNAcentral. Lineage: Bacteria; Bacillati; Bacillota; Clostridia; Peptostreptococcales; Peptostreptococcaceae.
UGGUCAAGUUAUUAAGGGUGCAGGGCGGAUGCCUUGGCACUAGGAGCCGAUGAAGGACGUGAUAAGCUGCGAUAAGCUUCGGGGAGUUGCACGUAAACUUUGAUCCGAAGAUUUCCGAAUGAGGAAACUCACUUAGAGUAAUGUCUAAGUAUCAUUAAGUGAAUACAUAGCUUAAUGAGGGGAACUCAGGGAACUGAAACAUCUAAGUACCUGAAGGAAGAGAAAGAAAUUCGAUUCCGUAAGUAGCGGCGAGCGAACGCGGAUUAGCCCAAACCAAUAAAGUUUUCUUUAUUGGGGUUGCGGACAUAUCAUAACGAAGAGGUAUCGUAAUUGAAGAGGUUUGGAAAGACUCACCACAGAAGGUAAUAGUCCUGUAUGUUAAACGAGAAGACUUUAGAUAUGAUCCAGAGUACCACGGGACACGUGAAACCCUGUGGGAAGCAGGAGGGACCACCCUCCAAGGCUAAAUACUACCUAGUGACCGAUAGCGUAUAGUACCGUGAGGGAAAGGUGAAAAGAACCCCGGGAGGGGAGUGAAAUAGAACCUGAAACCCUGCACUUACAAGCUGUGGAAGCACAUUUCUUGUGUGACCGCGUACUUUUUGUAGAACGGGCCAACGAGUUACGUUAAGUAGCAAGGUUAAGCACUUAAGGUGCGGAGCCGUAGCGAAAGCGAGUUUUAACUGAGCGUUCAGUUACUUGACGUAGACCCGAAACCGGGCGACCUACCCAUGAGCAGGAUGAAGCGAAAGUAAAAUUUCGUGGAGGUCCGAACCCACGAGCGUUGAAAAGCUCGGGGAUGACUUGUGGGUAGCGGUGAAAUUCCAAUCGAGCCCGGAGAUAGCUGGUUCU